CCAGACUCCUACGGGAGGCAGCAGUGGGGGAUAUUGGACAAUGGGGGAAACCCUGAUCCAGCGACGCCGCGUGAGUGGAGAAGUAUUUCGGUAUGUAAAGCUCUGUCAGCAGGGAAGAAAGAAGUGACGGUACCUGACCAAGAAGCCCCGGCUAACUACGUGCCAGCAGCCGUGGUAAUACGUAGGGGGCAAGCGUUAUCCGGAAUUACUGGGUGUAAAGGGAGCGUAGACGGCGACGCAAGUCUGGAGUGAAAGCCCGGGGCCCAACCCCGGGACUGCUCUGGAAACUGCGUCGCUGGAGUACGGGAGGGGCAGGCGGAAUUCCUGGUGUAGCGGUGAAAUGCGUAGAUAUCAGGAGGAACACCGGCGGCGAAGGCGGCCUGCUGGACCGUGACUGACGUUGAGGCUCGAGAGCGUGGGGAGCAAACAGGAUUAGAUACCCCGGUAA
RNAcentral lists this ribosomal RNA (448 nucleotides) under uncultured bacterium. Its description in RNAcentral is "bacterial SSU rRNA". It matches the Rfam family "Bacterial small subunit ribosomal RNA", at positions 331 to 793 of the family's 1533-position model. The record is from RNAcentral.